RNAcentral lists this long non-coding RNA (908 nucleotides) under Brachypodium distachyon (stiff brome). Its description in RNAcentral is "long non-coding RNA (BDIS_LNC002291)". Lineage: Eukaryota; Viridiplantae; Streptophyta; Magnoliopsida; Poales; Poaceae. The record is from RNAcentral.
GUAGGAAUCAAUUUUAUAGAUUAUAUAGAUCAGUGCUGAUUCCGAUCUCCGAUAUUGGAGGGUUUAUGGCUUUACCAUUGCCCGCUCUGCCCUUGCUAAUAUGCGGUCUUGAUGAGAUGGAUUAUCCACAUAUAGUGAGUAACAGUUUAGCACCAAUUAUCACUCAAAUAUCCAUAACUCCUUGCAUGGAUGUAAUAAUUACAUUGAUUGCACCCAAUAAUAUUUAGUUAGGGUUAGAGAAUCCAAAACACCAAAAUAUAACUAUGGGGAAAAGUGCUUAGGGAAGUUGUUCAAGCACUUCUCUAAGUUUGUUUCUGAAAAGCAACACCCUAGCCGGCUCAGUGCAUGGUUCGAUUUUUGUGAGAGCCUACCAACGGUCUACCAAUACUUGGAUGCUAGAUACACUUCAACUAUAUAUAGCGGCCAGCUCAAAAAAAAAAACCCUUGAAUUCUCUCUUUGUUCGUAGAGACGCGUCUUGAAUUUCGAUUUUAAAAUGAUUGUUGCAUUUUAAUUUUUUCUCUCACAAUUUCCAUUUUAUGGCUCCUCCAUGUCCAUGGUCUCCUCACACCUGCGCACCUCGGGAAAAGCUUGGAAAAAGGCGGAGCCAAGUGCUGGUGACAGAAAGUGCCUCUCGCAGUUAUUAUCCUCAAAAAACAAGAAUAAUAGAACAAAGCAUUUUUUCUGCGGGAAUAAUAAGAGGAAAAAAAUAUACACCAUAAAAAGAAUGAGGAUAUCUCCCAAAAAUUGUCUUAUGUAGAGUAUGAUUUAGCUAGUUACUUCCUCUGUUCCUAACUAAUUGGCGUCAGAAAUUUUGCAAAAAAACCUUGUAGUUUUUCAAAAUCAACCUAGAGUACGCGUUCUACUAGAACUUUUGCGAAAAAAACCUGUAGUUUAUCGAAAUCAACGC